CCAUUAUGCUAUUCCAUUAUCUAAUAUGGCAUUUAAAUGUACAAUACUGGUCACUGGAAACAACUGACUAUUAUAAAAAUUUUAUUUAACUAUUUAGCCAGGAUGACCCUCAAAGUAAAAAAUAAAUAAAUAAAAAUAAAUCAAUUAGGACUAUAUCCACAAUCGCUACAAAAAAAUGGACUACAAAAUACCAAGAAAGCUAAUCACCAUCCAAGAUAAAAGAAAUUCAAUCUACACACAUUUUUCCCCCAGAAGGUGGAGCUCAUGUUUAAGUUAUUUUAAAACAGAGCACAGGCAAACUGAGACAAUUAAGAAGAAACUGAAGUCUUAUAUCUCUGUCUCAUUGAUGAUGUUGCUUCUGGUCCUCGUGAUAUAUUCCCUGUUUAAGGCAUGUUUUAGGAGGAAGGGAUUCAACGCUUACCUGCAACUACACUGGUGGAUCUAAUGGGAAUGUCAUCAGACCAGAUGAACCGUCUGUAGUUUUAACUGAAGGAAACAGCACCACUCUGUCCUGUUCAU
Puntigrus tetrazona (Sumatra barb) is the source of this 519-nucleotide long non-coding RNA. RefSeq lists it as uncharacterized. The transcript has 3 exons. The record is from RefSeq and is a predicted model, not a curated record. NCBI's taxonomy places the organism in Eukaryota, Metazoa, Chordata, Actinopteri, Cypriniformes, Cyprinidae.